GUGAUGACAGUGUGUUUGUCGGUCUGACUCCAGUGGGCUGCUGCUUGGAAUCUUUUCUCCCAUCAUUUACCUGGGGGCGCCAUCGUAUUCAUCUAAGGAUCAUUUGAUAAAAAGAACGACAACUGCGGGCUUACAUCUUCUCUCCUUCAAAGACGACUGAAAGCUUAAAUCCCUUGGAAACAUCUUUACGGACAACUUUUCAUCACAAGAACGGAUUUGAAAAUAAUCUUUACCAACCGACGAUUAUGUGCGUAUGUGUCCCUACACCAGGUUCAUACACAGUUUACCAUGAAGGAGGACUUGGGAGUUUACCAACAGAAUACGAGGAAAGAAAGCUGGACAGGAGAUAAGACAGGACAAACGUUGAAGUCGUGCAUUCGCCAGACAAAGUAACUGUUGGUACACAAGCGAUGACGAUGUAUUGUGUCGUGAGUACAGGCGGCUCAACGGCUUUGCUUGCUGAACGCUCCGACGCCAUUUUACUCAUGACGUAAAACGUGACUGACGACAUAUGGGUACAAUAACGGACAAAGGAAACAGAAAGUUCUUGAAAGAUCGGUGGAUGUGCAGCAAGAGAGGGAGAAAGAUGGAGAGAUCUGCGCCAGCAACUUGUCAGGUUUGUUGUGGUUUGUACGUGUUCCAAUGAACGGUGUGGAAUUCGAUACAUUUUAAUAUGAUUAGUACUGAUUAGUAUCGAUGUGCAUUAAAGAUUUGGGGGUUAGCAUGUUAGCCGUGAAGUUGCUGUCGGUGUUGUCCUUCUCCUGCUCCUUUUCUUAAGAACGAAAACGAGGCUGCACCUAACUGGGAUGACAGCUCUACGGCUCCACAACUAUUUCUUUAUUUAUUUGGUUAUUACUGCACUUGAUAUGCAGUUUGUCCUGUAUGUUCAUCAUUGACUGAGUUUUACUUUCUGCUGUGUUUUUGUAAGCGUCAUUAGGAAUCAUGUAGAGUUUUCUUCUUCAACAAUUCUUCAGCGCGUGUCCAGUGUCAGCCAUUACUUUAUCAGUUUUGACGUACAUACGGAAACCACAUUAACUUCUCGUUGGAAUAUCUUUCAAGAGAGUAAUUAUUUUAAUCAUGACUGUCUUUGUUGUACACAACAAUUAUUCUGGUUUCACUUCAUCUCUCCAACUCCUUUCCUUGUUUCAAAAUCGACUGUUUGAUCUACAACUACUAUUUUGCUUCUUUAGUACAAAUCUAGAAAAUUCUGCGCUGCGCGUCAUCAUUGUCGUCAUAUUCGCAGUUGCGUCAUUCAUAUUUCAUUUCGCUUUGACUUUAACUUUCUGUUUCAAUCUCUCUGCAGUUUUACUUUCAGUUCUAGAAAGAUAAGUCGAUGGACAGCAAGAUAUAUAAAUAUAUAUAUAAAGCUGAUGCUGAAG
This is a long non-coding RNA of Pomacea canaliculata, 1379 nucleotides long. RefSeq lists it as uncharacterized. NCBI's taxonomy places the organism in Eukaryota, Metazoa, Mollusca, Gastropoda, Architaenioglossa, Ampullariidae. The record is from RefSeq and is a predicted model, not a curated record. The transcript has 3 exons.